This is a non-coding RNA of Nicotiana tabacum (common tobacco), 987 nucleotides long. The record is from RefSeq and is a predicted model, not a curated record. NCBI's taxonomy places the organism in Eukaryota, Viridiplantae, Streptophyta, Magnoliopsida, Solanales, Solanaceae.
UAUAGUCAUACAGUCGUCGAUACAACCAAACUCUGAUCCCCUCUCUCUUUUCUUUUUGCCUUGGAUUCAAGAAUUCAUCUCCUAAAUCCUCUCUUGGCCGAAUUUCUUCCAAAUCUUUCAGAUUUACUUUGUCACUUUUACUCUCUCUAUAUCUAUGCAAUUACCUCUUCAUUAGACCACAAUAAUCAUCAAGCCCUAGAGUUCCCAAUGCCGAUAACGUGGUCGCCCUUCACCAUUUUCUGUUGGUCUUUUCGGCACUUCUCUGAAGCUUCGCAGGUUACAAAUCCAAUGAACUCAAAUACCCACUUCUUCAAGGACAGUUGCUAGACUUCCCAAAAUCCCCAAAUUCUAAAUCAUAUUUGUGCUCGAAUCAGAGAAUCCAAAAAUCACCAUAUGCCUGGGAAUUUUUCAUACUGAGAUUGAUACUUGAAGCUUUUUUUUGCCCGCAAAUUCUUGGUUUUUCUUAAGGCUGGAUCUCGAUCGCUGUAAUAGUAAUCUGGAUAUUUAUGGAUAAUGGUGAUAAAAGUUGGAUGAAUCUCCUGAGAUGGACGGAUGAAUAUAUCCGUGGAGUGAAUGAUUUUCUUGAUAAGGCAUUUAAAUGAGCCGCCCAAGGAAAUAAAAUAUUAUGCCCUUGCAAAAAGUGCAUGAAUCGCUAUUGGUAUUAUAGAAAUGUGGUGGAGGAUCAUUUGGUUGUUCAUGGAUUUGUUGAUGGUUAUACCAAAUUAGUUUUUCACGGGAAAGGAUUUUCCUCGAGAAAUACACCUCAUCCAAGCAAUGGUGAUGAAUGUUCUACCAUGUGUGACGAUAUUGAUGGACUACUUCAUGAUACAUUUAGAAAUAUUGAGGGUCAGGCAGGGGAUGAGGAAGGAGUUGGGGAAAGAUUAUCUAAAGAUGCAAAGAAGUUUUUCAAAUUGUUGGAGGAAGGAAAACAAGAGUUAUAUCCGGGGUGUGAAAAUUUCAGUAAACUGAGUUUCACUAUUCGAUUGU